GUAACAUUUUUUUAAUUUUCCUCCCCAAUAUUGCCAAAAAUUAAAGAAAUAUAAACAUUUGUCUCCAAUUUCAAUUUCAGCUUGGGUCAACUGUACUCCGCAGUUACCAUUUCAUCUCAAAAUCGGGAGCUUUAGUUUCUUCACUGUCCACCGUCCGCAAUUUCAAUUUCUUCGCUAUCCCCAAUUUCAAUUAAAGAAAUCGAUUCACUGUGCUCCGACUUCAUUUAGUUUAAUUUCUUCAAAAAGUCAAAAAGUCCGACCACUGUGCUUCGACUUCAUUAUGUUCUGACGCUGCUGCUCCGACUUCAGUUUUCAAAUUUGCACUUCAUCUUUAUGUAAGUUAUUUUGAAUACUCUUUUGUAUUUUGUGUACUUCAUCUUAAUUUGUUGUGUCUGAUUUCUUAUGUGGGUUUUGAGCUAAGGGUAUUUUGAAAACAUCUAUACCUCCUCGAGAUAGGAGUUAAGUCUGUGUACACCCUACUACCACACUGAUCCAGCCCAUUUUCAUACUAAUUCUAUCACUUAAAAUACUAUCGUUGGUAAUUUUUUGAUCUAUAUAUGCCAAAACAACACAAAGAGAAGCUGAGAGGGAGCUCCUGGCUCAUAAUGGUGUUUGGCUUGAACCUUCAUUUGUGUAUCUAGCUUCUAUAACCACGAAGUUGCCUGCUGAAGCUUGAAUUGGUUAUGAUAUCCUUCCUAGAGCCUUGGCUAAUGCAGGAUGCUUUAUCUAUCAAGUUGAAAAAACUUCUAUGUCGGGUACUACUGGUUAACAAGAUAGUAGUGGGGGCAUUCUUUGGCAAAGUUAAGAACAAGGUAACCAUUACUCUAUUUUAUAUGAAUAUAAAUACAAGUGAACGAUAUCUUGAUGUAGCUUUUUAAAUAUUCUUUCUUGAGAUAUAGCUUAGAGUAGUAAUAUGGGCAAAGGGUAAAACUAUUGCAAAGAUCAAUUUUCAUUCAUUGGACUUCUACCACUCCAUGUAAAUAAGACUGUAGACUGUAGUACUUCUAAUGAUCAGGCAUUAGCAAAUUUUAGUUAGAUUGUUCCAUGACUAAAUGAACAAGAAAUACACUUGGCUCUCAAGAAAUACAUCCUAAAGAACUAAAGAAAAUAGAUAGAGAAGGAUAUAUACAUGUACAUAAUACAACUAUAACGUACAUCCAGUGGCAACAAAAAACUCAAUCUUAAACAAUUUUAAAACCAAUUAAGGUUCUUACAACACUUGAAGAUAGACCAUUAGAGUGUUGAAUACAGAAGUUUCAAGUCUAGAUAAGCCAAGCCUCUGAAACAAUCUAUAUCUUCCAUAUUCAACAAUAGGACUCUGUGCACGAGCUAGAUCAUAUCUCGUCUGAUGAGUAAGUGAAGUACCAGUAUUGAUGUUUUCCUCAGAUGUGUGUAGUGCAUGUUGUAUAUUUAAAUAUUGACAAGAAAAAAUUACUCUAUAUAUAGGAGAAUGCAUGUUGAUAAUAAAGAAGUAUGAGACGAGUAUUUUAUUCCACAGUAAUUACUAAACUCAUUUUCUCAUCUUGCUCCAAUAGCUACCAACUCAUCAGAUAGUGAAGUGGUUGUGGCCAUAGUGUCAUUUCCUGAUUACAACCAUCUGAAUCAGCUUUUUGUUCUUGCUCACUUCAUCGUGUCCCAUAAUAUACCAGUAUACUUUCUCUCCCUUACUGAUCAGAACUAAGAUUUGGAACUCCACGUCUAAGGUGGUCUCGGAGCCUCAAACAUCCAAAUGAAAAUAUACGUUUCGUAAUCAAUAUCACUUUUAUUUACUUAGUUUUAUGUCAUUUCAUUGAUAAUUCUUAUAUACAAGAACUAUUUGGACAUGUGCGAAUAGGCUGGGAUUGUUUUCUUCAAGUUUCUUGUUCAAAAAUAAGUAAAAUUUGGGGAGGUAAAAAUCGAAGAAUAACUCUUGGAAAGUUGUAGUUGAAAUUAGGUGACCCUGUCUAUUUUUAUUUAUUUAUGUUCUUACUUUUUUAGUUCCCCAUAAUUUACGAUGAGCAUAAGAUGAAAUUUUGAGGCAACCUUUCAUCAUCUAAGCAAAGACAUAUAUUGGAAGGUUGUAGUUGAAAGGUUUUCCCCAAUAGGGUAUGGUAGAUGAGCUGUUAGUUUUAGAAAUUGGGGGUCUGAAUUAGGAAGAAAACGUGGCUCUAAAAGUUUUGAAUAGCGAAGUAAUCUAGUAUGGAUAUGAAUCAUGAAUUUAAUAUUUGAGAAUACAGAAAACAGACUGUAAAUGUCGGGUGAAAGUGGUAGAGAAAUGGAUUCGCUGUAUUCUACUUAAAUUUUAGAGGAUAUAUAAUGAAUUGAGUUUACAAAAAACUACAUAAACUUUCAAAUAUGGGAUGUGACAGAAGUACCAUUACUGAUACAUCUGUUAAUCACAUUAGAGCUUACUGCAUGAAUAACCAUGAUUUUUCUCUUCGAUAUGAUAGACCAUCUUUGAUGAUGAAGAGAUUUAAGAGGAUCUCAAGUCCAAUUUCACUUAUGCUCUUGCACCUACACUAAUGUGGAAUAAAAGUGUAGUUACAGUUGUUUUUUUUCUUACUCGACACUUUUUGUAUUGGAAGUAUAGUUACCUAUCUUGAUGUUUGUUAUCUUCACUUUUGACUUCUCAACUUCUUAGAGUGACUGUCGUCUUGGUUAUAUGGAUUAGUAGGUUCCAAUUGCACCAUUUAAAUUCCAACAUUAUAAUUUAAUUGUUCUACAUCAUUCUUUUUUUUUUGCCCUAUUGGUGGGGUUUAUGGGGAGGGGGAGGGGGAUUAUCAGGGGUGCCCUCAAUGACUAAGCUUAAGAUUUGAAGCGAAUGGGCAGAGAAUGAAGCAAGAUUUAAAGUUUAUGAGGUUAUUAGCUUAUUGUAUUCUAAAUUAGUGAACCUAUUCACAAUGCGUCACCUAUCUCAGACGAUUUGAUUUCACUCUUGUUGUCUUUUGAACUCAUCUUCUCUACCAACAGUUCAAGGUUUUGCAUUUUUAGAACUAGCUACUAGCUUGGUAGGAUAUGUUGUUAACUUUCCAAAAUAGGUUAUCGAUACCUUAGAUUUGAUCUUUAGUAGUUCAAGUCCCUUCUUUGUUGUGUAUUACUUCCCGUUUGCAAAUUGUUUUGAUGGAAUUUGUGUAAGCUGAGUGUAUAGGAAUCUCUAGGACCAAAAUUCUGAAAUUGUCAAUAUUUUAAGGACUAAAAAUAUAUAUUUUUAAAUAGUAUAACUCAAUUGGAUAAUGAUUUAUAAUCAUUAAAACAUCAGUUGGUAGCUUCAGUGCAAUAUAUUUGAGUUUGACAUUUAAAAGAGCAAACAUGAUAUUCAAUUUUUUAUAACUGCAAUAUUUACCAUCUUUUGAGGAGUAUUUGUUUUUACUAUGUCAUGGUAGUUUUCAUUAUUAUAUUUACAUUUUAAUCUACAAACAGGGGAUUGAGUAAAAUAUACUAGACCUUCUAGUGUUGUUAAAGCCAAUAACAGGUUAGUUCCUUACAUGGCAUAUAUCUAAAGUAUUUAUUUUUUUGAUAUCGUAAAUAAUGAAAAUCUUAAUGCUUCAAAAGUCGUAAGUUUUGCCAAUUAGGUGGUAAAUUUUAUUAGAGUGGAUUAAUCUUCCCUGCCGAAUUUUUUAGCCACUUCAUCUAAUUCAAAAUCAUAAAAUGUUACAACUAUAUAUUAAUGAUAGUAGAAAAGCAAUAGUUAAAAGAGUGUAAAAAAUAUGCAUAAUAAGUUUAAUAUUUGAAUAGUUAAAAUUACUUAUAAUUUGUAAAAUUUCUAGAUAAAGGUUAGAAGUACCAGUGUUUCAAUUCUAAUGCAAAUUAGAGCAACACACCCCAAAUACUAGCAUUAAGGUGUGAGAGAUCAAAACUACAAAAUCGCAAUAUCAGCUCCCCACCACACUCGGUAGUCAUCGACCUCGAUAGCUCCAUUUGGGUAGCUUUCACUUUACCACAAGUAGGUAGCUCUUAGCCAGAUAGGCCUUCACGGUACGAUGUGCACAGAGAAUGAUGUAUGGCUUUGAUAUCAUUAAUACAAACUUAUGAGAACCACACCCCAUAAGGUAGCUACUUAGGUGGGAGUACCCAAGGUUAUAUAAGACCUACAUUAACUCCCCAUUUAACCUAGGUGGGACUUUUUGUAAUAGGAUCAUAACAAUUAUCUAGAAAAAGCACUAAAAAGUUAAGUUAAAUACUAACUUUUCUAUAGAAUUUGAGUAGGAUUUAAUUACAUACACGAACCUGUCUUAAAAAAAUAGUUCCACGAGUUGUAAAAGGGAACUUUUCCCCACAACUAUUUUAGAAGGUUACCGCGCUUAGUAUCUAAAAUUGUUGUAUCAUCCAGAACUAGAAGAACCAUACCGCCCAAAUCAUUCAGAUUGAAACGAAGAUGUUGAAUAAGAGUCACCAUAACGUGAAAAGAAACCAAAUCCAGGCUCACGCAUCCCAUACAUGCUCGGGCCUGAUUCUUUGUGGUUGCUAAUGAACUCUUGCACAAAAAUAAGUGAAUACAGAAUUAUAAGCUAGCUAGGUUCUUCUUUUAUCAAUAUUUUUAUCCUUUAACAUUUUGUUUCUCCCAAUGUUUUAACGAUACAUAUGGAGCCGACAUAAACCUAUAACGAGGAGACCUCGAAGUAGUGAUAAAUCAGAAAAGGGACAAGAUAUGAACGAAUAAUUUCUAAUACCUAACUAAGAGUUUUGGUUUUGAUUGUACAUCUAUCUCUAAUUUAUUUAGAUAAAAGUGUUUAAAAACUAAUCAAUUUAAUCAGAAUAUUAGUAACAAUGAUUUUGCUUAUAAUACUAAUUUAAGUUUGAUGUACUGGUGCAGAAUAGUAGUGAAUUCAAAUCAAAUAAAUCAUAACAAGUUGAAAGUCCUAGAUUUCCUCUAAUACUCCAACUAUCAAUAGAAUGCGGACGAUGAGAUUUACUCUUGUUUGCACUUGGAUGAUCUAUGGUGAUACCAAAAAUGAAUAGUUCAUUGGAUAAAAAGAGUCACCUGCAAUUGAUCAUUGUUAAACAAAAUUGAAACAAUCUAUAAAGAUUAGAGAAAACAGCUUGUACAGUAUAAACACCUAAGUUUUUUUUUUUAUUUCUAUGGUGUACAAUGCACUUGGAAUAAAAUCCAGGCAAGUGCAAAGUUAGUUUUAGGAACUCAAUAUUGCACUGUAUGAUGAUACAUUAUUGACUUCCAGGUAUUUGAGUGGGCCAUAAGUCCAUCUUCUAUUUAAGAUCAGAGUUGAUAGGUUUGGGAGGCUGAGUUCAUACAUCUAGAUUUUAUUGCUUGGGAGGCUAUUAGGUUAUCCAAACUAUUAGAAUGUAUUUGUACGCGAUCUUAGGUGUAUUUAUACGCCUAAGCACCAUAACUUAUCCAUGUUUUAGCUAAGUUUACAGAACAAAAUUAGUGUUUAAAAACUAAUCAAUUUAAUCAGAAUAUUAGUAACAAUGAUUUUGCUUAUAAUACUAAUUUAAGUUUGAUGUACUGGUGCAGAAUAGUAGUGAAUUCAAAUCAAAUAAAUCAUAACAAGUUGAAAGUCCUAGAUUUCCUCUAAUACUCCAACUAUCAAUAGAAUGCGGACGAUGAGAUUUACUCUUGUUUGCACUUGGAUGAUCUAUGGUGAUACCAAAAAUGAAUAGUUCAUUGGAUAAAAAGAGUCACCUGCAAUUGAUCAUUGUUAAACAAAAUUGAAACAAUCUAUAAAGAUUAGAGAAAACAGCUUGUACAGUAUAAACACCUAAGUUUUUUUUUUUAUUUCUAUGGUGUACAAUGCACUUGGAAUAAAAUCCAGGCAAGUGCAAAGUUAGUUUUAGGAACUCAAUAUUGCACUGUAUGAUGAUACAUUAUUGACUUCCAGGUAUUUGAGUGGGCCAUAAGUCCAUCUUCUAUUUAAGAUCAGAGUUGAUAGGUUUGGGAGGCUGAGUUCAUACAUCUAGAUUUUAUUGCUUGGGAGGCUAUUAGGUUAUCCAAACUAUUAGAAUGUAUUUGUACGCGAUCUUAGGUGUAUUUAUACGCCUAAGCACCAUAACUUAUCCAUGUUUUAGCUAAGUUUACAGAACAAAAUUAGUGUUUAAAAACUAAUCAAUUUAAUCAGAAUAUUAGUAACAAUGAUUUUGCUUAUAAUACUAAUUUAAGUUUGAUGUACUGGUGCAGAAUAGUAGUGAAUUCAAAUCAAAUAAAUCAUAACAAGUUGAAAGUCCUAGAUUUCCUCUAAUACUCCAACUAUCAAUAGAAUGCGGACGAUGAGAUUUACUCUUGUUUGCACUUGGAUGAUCUAUGGUGAUACCAAAAAUGAAUAGUUCAUUGGAUAAAAAGAGUCACCUGCAAUUGAUCAUUGUUAAACAAAAUUGAAACAAUCUAUAAAGAUUAGAGAAAACAGCUUGUACAGUAUAAACACCUAAGUUUUUUUUUUUAUUUCUAUGGUGUACAAUGCACUUGGAAUAAAAUCCAGGCAAGUGCAAAGUUAGUUUUAGGAACUCAAUAUUGCACUGUAUGAUGAUACAUUAUUGACUUCCAGGUAUUUGAGUGGGCCAUAAGUCCAUCUUCUAUUUAAGAUCAGAGUUGAUAGGUUUGGGAGGCUGAGUUCAUACAUCUAGAUUUUAUUGCUUGGGAGGCUAUUAGGUUAUCCAAACUAUUAGAAUGUAUUUGUACGCGAUCUUAGGUGUAUUUAUACGCCUAAGCACCAUAACUUAUCCAUGUUUUAGCUAAGUUUAGAGAACAAAAUUCCUAGUUUCUUAUGUUUUUACUCUACUUCUAUGUAAUUGAUCUAACCGAUAUGAUUAGCAUGAUUUUAGGCAUUAAUGAGGUAGAUGAAGACAUAAUGGGACUAUGGAAUGCGGAUGACAUAUGACACAAGAGAGAGUAGCAGUUUGGACCAAAUGUGGCGCCUAAAAACUAUGUCCAAGACUAGUUUGUUAUUUAUAAUUUGUUCAGGGACUUAGAAGGCAAUUAUGAGAGAAAAGAUUAUUAAAAGGCUUAAUGCUGAAUUUUUAUUCAUUAUUGGAUUAUUAUGCAUUAGUUUUUGAAGAGGGAGAGUGGUGGCUUAGCUUGGAGAGAGAGAAAAAUAUUUUUCUCUUGUUCUUACAAUUCGCACACCAAGAUCAUCUUGUAGUUUUUGGUAUGAUGAAUAUUUCUAUUGUGAUUUUCGUUUUAUUCAUGAGUAGCUAAGUUUAUUAGUUAGGGUUAGACUUGUAGCAUACAAUCUAUCACUUUAGGUUUUGAAUUCAUUAUGCAUUGAUUUGUUUAUAUCAUUCUCUCUUCGCUUAUCUUGAAUUCUCGUGGUUGUAAACAUAGAGGAUAUGCCUUCAAACGCAACUUGUUCGAAAGAAAGGUUGAUGUUCAGAAAAGAGAGUAGUGACAAGAAAAUAGGAUUACCAACCCCUAUUUCAUAAGUUAAUGCCUUAGCAAGAUUAACUACUUGGAGAUUUCAUAUUGUUUUUUUGGUAAACACUUUUGAUUCGAGAGAACUAAAGUGAAUUAGUCCUUGAUGGUUGAGAAACACUAGGAUUAUGUUAUUAAAUACAAUACGAUUCUCUGUAAGCACGAUACAUGUAUGAAUUCAUAAAGCCCAUAGUUAAAAAGUAUUAAAAACUACAAGGUGGACAUAACCCUAGUUUGCUAUUUCUCUGAAUUUGAAUACUACUACACGUAUUUCAUCUUGUUAAACUGAAACCCUUAAUUUAUGAACUGAAUCAAAUACCUCCUAUUUAAUUUAUGAAAACGAACGAUUAAAAGUCAACUAAUCUGCAUACAACUUAAUUAGCACCAUAUUCCCUGUGGGAUUCGACCCCAACCUAGUUGAGUUAUAUAUUUGACAACGACUGCUUACUCUCUCGUAAGAGAGGUGUAAUUUAGGCGUAUCAAAUUUUGGCACCAUUGCCGGGGAAUACGGUUGUCGAUUGAGUUUAUGUGUGUUAAUUGACUAUUAGUUAAGUUUCCUGAUUUUAUGUUUGUUUGUUGUUUUUAUUCGUUACAGGCUCAUUGUUGUUUAUGCCACAAACCAAAAGUUCAGGAGAACCAUUAUUACCCUUUAAUCCUGAAUCUCAUCUCAUUGAAAGAAUGGCUAACUAACAGGAAGUUGAAAGAUUAGCUGCUUUGGCUAAUGCUCAAUUAAAUCUAUAGAAUGCAGAUAACCCAGGUCGGAUACCUAAUAUAAAUGAAGAAGACCUGGGAGAUGAUGAUUUAAUUAACCCGGCUAAUAAGAGGCGUGCAGCAGGGGUAGUUUCACCUGUAAAUCAAAAUUUUCCAUUCAGACAAAGACCAGACCGCCAAGCUGCACAGUUUGAUGUUGACAAUGAUGAGGACGAUUUAGAUGGAACUGGAUCUAUAGGAACAAUCAUUCUACCACCACUACCUCUUGGGGUGAAAUUCAACAUCACUAGUACUAUGAUCCAACUACUGAAUCUGAAAGGACUAUUUGGUAGAUUACCUAGUGAUGUUCCAAAUCUACAUUUGGUGAAUUUCAUCAGUAUUUGUAAGUCAUUUGAUAAUCCUAGAGUGGGGUAAAAUGCUAUUCGUCUAAGAUUGUUCCCAUUGUCUUUGUCUGGAGAGGCAACGAUGUGGUUGAAUGAGCUAACUCCUGAUUCUAUAACAAACUGGAGGCAAUUGAAAGAAGCAUUCCUAGAAAGGUUCUUUCAGCCCUCCAGAAUGUUACAGUUGAGGGAUGAGAUCAGGAACUUUAGGCAAUUGGCUAAUGAAGCUUUGCAUGAUACUUGGGAGAGGUUUAAAAAGAAGUUGACUCAAUGCCCAAACCAUAAGAUGACUGACGAACACUUGAUGGAAAUAUUCUACAAAGCUUUGAGCUCACUUACAAAGCCAAUAGUGGAUAAUGCUGCAAGAGGAGCUUUUAUGGAGCUCACCUUUAUUGAGGAUGCGAACAUGUUAGAAGGAAUGACUAAGACAAGUAGAUCUUAGUAUACCAGAGAUUCUGUGGUAGCAAGUAAUAUUGGGUCUAGUAUAAUAUCAGUAGAGCAGCUUAGGACAGAAGAGGAGCGUGAUUAGAAUAUGCCUCAUAUGAAAAUCCAGAUGGAUCUUCUCAUAAAAUAUUUACUAGCAAGGAAUAUAGAAAAGGUAAAAGUUAUGGGGUCCUAUAGUAAGGGAGCUGAAUCAAACACCGAGGAAGAGGCUAACUACUUACAUAACCAUGGGGGUUUCUGGAUCGGUGGUUAAGGAAACCAAGGUUGGAACCAUCAAGGAUAUUGGAAGAAUAAAAGUAAUAGGAGUGGACUGUAUGUACCUCCUGGAAGUCGUGAUAAUGCUGCCACCAGUUUAGGCAAAAUAUCCAUGGAGGACAUGAUGGAGAAACUAUUAAAGGGAGUUGAGGCGACCAAUUCUGGGGUGACUACUAUGAAGAGUGACAUAUCUUCCAUGAGUCAACUAGUAAACUCACACUCAAUUGCUAUUAAACAACCGGAGCAGCAGAUGAGCCAAUUAUCCACAGCAUUCAACCAAAGAUAGACAGGGACAUUACCAAGUAAUAUAGUACAGAAUCCGAUGAUUGAUGGAUCGUGUAUGGCCAUUACCACUAGGAGCAGUAAGAUGUUAUCUAGUCUAAGAUUAGAAGCAUCCUCUCAUACUGAUGCGAUCGAAAUAGAUUGGGAGAUGGUUGAUGAAUCUUCAGUGGUGCCUGUAGAGUUGGGAGGUUAAAAAAAAAGAGUGUAGAAGUGGAACAACCAACUAAGAUGAAGCAUGUUAGUGAUGUGGAGCAAGGCAUAAGAAAGGAGGUAAAAGUUGCUCCAACUGAAAUCCCAAGGCCACCACCCCCAUUUUUAUAAUGGUUAAAGAAUAAAGAAGAUGAUGGCAAGUUUAGCAAAUUCAUGGCUAUGUUGAAACAGUUGAUAGUGAAUGUGCCCUUAGUUGAAGCAUUGGAACACAUGCCCGGAUAUGCUAAAAUUAUGAAAGACCUGCUGACAAAGAAAAGGAAUGUGAGCUAUGAAAUGGUAGACAAUCUUCAUCAUUGUAGUGCUAUUGCUACAAGAUCUAUUAUCUAGAAGAGAGCUGAUUCGGAAGCAUUUACUGUUCCAUGUAUGAUUGGAUUGCUGAAGUUUGAAAAGGCCCUUUAUGAUCUUGGGGCAAGUAUAAAUCUUAUGCCACUGAUGGUUUUCAAGAAAAUGAGUUUGGGAGAUCUUACGCCCACCAAUAUGCAGCUUCUAAUGGCGGAUAGAUUGGUAAAAAGGCCGAUUAGGAUUCUACAUGAUGUACUUAUAAAAGUUGCGGAUUUUAUAUUUCCUGGCGACUUUGUAAUUCCUGAUUGCGAAGUGGACUUUGAAGUACCCAUAAUUUUGGGUAGGUCGUUCUUAGCAACUGGGAGAAUGUUAGUUGACAUAGAGAUGAAUGAUCUAAAAUUUUGGCUCAACGAGAAAGAAUUUAGUUUUGAAGUAUGUCGGCUAUGAAACAACAAAAGGAGAUGAGUGUCUUCUUGAUUGUUGAUGUAUUCUACAAAGAUGAGCGAGAUGUACCUGUUAAGGAUAGGUCUGUUGUGGAGACCAUAGCUAGUUUGGUUGAACUUACAAGCAAGGAUGUGAGUGACUUCAAAGUGGUUGGACUAGGAAUAAAGCAUUGUCUUAAUCCAAUAAAUGAGGGACAAAUGGUAUCAUCGAUGUAUCUUGAUGAAGUCUAAGUAGUCAAUAUAAUUGAGUCGUGCCGCGACGUUAAAUCAGGCGCUACAUGGGAGGCAACCCAUGAUUUUAUUUUCUCUUUAUCAUGUUAAACAAAAAUGCAAAAAGAAGAGUCGAGCCACGACCGAAACUACGGUGCUUGGUGGGAGGCAACCCAUCCUUCUAAUCAUUUUGUUUUUUUUUGAUUAAGUCUAGAUGCAUGAAGUACUAAGGAGGAGAUUAGUACCGAUUUUGGUUUGAAAUUGAGCCAUGUCAACGGUGGUAAGUUUAGGAGUGAUGGGAACAUUGCAGGUAAGUUGGAGUGGUCAAAUGUGUAGAGCUUAAGUAUGAUUUGUGUUAGAGUCGUGCCCCGAUCUAUGUUAAUCUGACCCCAAAAUUUUCACGGUGUAACUUUAUUUUGUGACUUUCAAUGAGGUCUGUGGUGGUAGCGUAGGGGUAUGGACCUUUCUCACUGCCUCAUAUGAAAAAUAUUGUGCAUAGUGUUGGAUUUUAAGUGUACUAUUGCAUCGCACACCUUCAUGUGUGAGACCAAAAGUGCACCAUACAUCCCAUCGCACAUGCUCACUGGACCAACUAUGCGAUGCACAAUGCGCCGCACACCUUGAUGUAUGCGAUAACUUAUGCAUCGCACACUUUAACAUGUGCGAUAAGAUAUGCGUCGCACACAUUAGAGAGCUUCUUUCAAGCCCUUGGUGUGAUUUAUGAGAUUAUUUAUGGUAAAUCUGAGAGCAUUAUUUGAAGAAGAAUUUGAACUUGUUGAUCACAUUAUCUAAAGAAUAAGUCAUAGAUAAAGAAUUUUAGGGUAACACAUGAGUAGAUUGGAGUUUCUGAAGGAAUGACUUUACAGCACGAUCUAGAGUAUGAAAAGAGGGAAACUUUUCUUAAAUGCCUUGUAGCCUCUCGAAGAAAAGUACAGACAUCUCCAUACCAUUCUACAAGACUCUACUAGAUAUGGAUUCACAGACACCCUAGGACACUUGAAACUUAGGCUCUGAUACCAAGUUUAUAACGCCCCAAAAAUGGGUCUCGAGAUGUCACAUGAUGCUUAGAACCACAAGUGAUCCAAGGUAACCCUUCUAUUGGCAUAUCCGAUAAGUAACUGAAUAAAAUACAUAAAUCUGAAUGAAAUAAGUGGAAGAUGGAUGUUUUUUUGAAUCUGAUCAAUACAAUACUAAAUUAAAAUGAUUACAACUCUACUUUUACAAAUCCAACUGAAAUCCCAAGGCCACCACCCCCAUUUUCAUAAUGGUUAAAGAAUAAAGAAGAUGAUGGCAAGUUUAGAAAAUUCAUGGCUAUGUUGAAACAGUUGAUAGUGAAUGUGCCCUUAGUUGAAGCAUUGGAACACAUGCCCGGAUAUGCUAAAAUUAUGAAAGACCUGCACACAAAGAAAAGGAAUGUGAGCUAUGAAAUGGUAGACAAUCUUCAUCAUUGUAGUGCUAUUGCUACAAGAUCUAUUGUCUAGAAGAGAGCUGAUUCGGAAGCAUUUACUGUUCCAUGUAUGAUUGGAUUGCUGAAGUUUGAAAAGGCCCUUUAUGAUCUUGGGGAAAGUAUAAAUCUUAUGCCACUGAUGGUUUUCAAGAAAAUGAGUUUGGGAGAUCUUACGCCCACCAAUAUGCAGCUUCUAAUGGCGGAUAGAUUGGUAAAAAGGCCGAUUAGGAUUCUACAUGAUGUACUUAUAAAAGUUGCGGAUUUUAUAUUUCCUGGCGACUUUGUAAUUCCUGAUUGCGAAGUGGACUUUGAAGUACCCAUAAUUUUGGGUAGGUCGUUCUUAGCAACUGGGAGAAUGUUAGUUGACAUAGAGAUGAAUGAUCUAAAAUUUUGGCUCAACGAGAAAGAAGUUAGUUUUGAAGUAUGUCGGCUAUGAAACAACAAAAGAAGAUGAGUGUCUGCUUGAUUGUUGAUGUAUUCUACAAAGAUGAGCGAGAUGUACCUGUUAAGGAUAGGUCUGUUGUGGAGACCAUAGCUAGUUUGGUUGAACUUACAAGCAAGGAUAUGAGUGACUUCAAAGUGGUUGGACUAGGAAUAAAGCAUUGUCUUAAUCCAAUAAAUGAGGGACAAAUGGUAUCAUCGAUGUAUCUUGAUGAAGUCUGAGUAGUCAAUAUAAUUGAGUCGUGCCGCGACGUUAAAUCAGGCGCUACAUGGGAGGCAACCCAUGAUUUUAUUUUCUCUUUAUCAUGUUAAACAAAAAUGCAAAAAGAAGAGUCGAGCCACGACCGAAACUACGGUGCUUGGUGGGAGGCAACCCAUCCUUCUAAUCAUUUUGUUUUUUUUUUAUUAAGUCUAGAUGCAUGAAGUACUAAGGAGGAGAUUAGUACCAAUUUUGGUUUGAAAUUGAGCCAUGUCAACGGUGGUAAGUUUAGGAGUGAUGGGAACAUUGCAGGUAAGUUGGAGUGGUCAAAUGUGUAGAGCUUAAGUAUGAUUUGUGUUAGAGUUGUGCCCCGAUCUAUGUUAAUCUGACCCCAAAAUUUUCACGAUGUAACUUUAUUUUGUGACUUUCAAUGAGGUCUGUGGUGGUAGCGUAGGUGUAUGGACCUUUCCCACUGCCUCAUAUGAAAAAUAUUGUGCAUAGUGUUGGAUUUUAAGUGUACUAUUGCAUCGCACACCUUCAUGUGUGAGACCAAAAGUGCACCAUACAUCCCAUCGCACAUGCUCACUGGACCAACUAUGCGAUGCACAAUGCGUCGCACACCUUGAUGUAUGCGAUAACUUAUGCGUCGCACACUUUAACAUGUGCGAUAAGAUAUGCGUCACACACCUAGACACAUAUGCCCACUGCCUUAAGUCUAUGAUACCUUAUGCGACACACACCUUGAUGUCUAUGAUAGGUAGUGCGUCGCCCACUUCUCCGUAUAGGCUCACUGUCCCAACUGUGAGACAACAUAUGCGACAUACACUUUGAGAUGUGCAUCGCACACUUAGUCUAAAUACGCCUAAAACCUGACUUCCAACUUUAACUUGGGUUAACCCGACCCAGGUUUUCAUUCUUCAAAUAAACUUCACACCCUAAAUGCCCAAAUUCAUCCUUAUUUCACCCUUAAGCCAUCCAAUAUUGAGCUCUCACCAUUCUCUUUGUCCUUCACUAAUCUUCCAUCUUCAAGGUAUAUUUUACUUUUUUUAAUCCUUAUUUAUUGUGACUCUAUGUUAUAGUUAAUUGAUUUCUUAAGGAUUACGAAUUAAAUUCUUGCCAUGGCGAUGUUGUGAAAGUGAUGGUGUUUUGUAUAUUUUGGUAUAGUUGAAAGUGUAGAGCAUGAUUCUAUUUAAAAAGUGCUUCAUUGAAAUAGAAUUAGGGGAAUUAAAGUGAGUGAAUUGUAUUGCGAAUAAUGUAGGUGCACCAUACCAAAGUGUAUGUCGGCUAAGUUUGAGUACCCGAUAAUAACACUUAAUUGGUUUAUACUAACAAAUUAAGUGUGGGGUGGUGACUUCACCACCUUCAUCUUAAUUAUAGUUAGUUUUAUUAUGUGUGGCUGACGUGGAUGAUAUGAUGAACACAGAAAAAAUAGAUCUGAUAAUGAUCUCAAUGUAGGUGGCAUGACUUCUAAUGUGGAUGAGGAGUACUACUAGCCAGGUUCUUUAUCUUGUUAUUUGCAUUGGGGAUAGUGCUGAGCUUGAGUGUGGGGUGACUGGUUACUUUGCUACUUGUUUUGUAAGAAAAAUAGUACCUUCUCCUUAGCAUUCUUCUGUGAUAGGAUUGGUUAUUUUAUUUAUUUUGUUUCUUGUUAGAUGUUUAUUCUAUUUAGUCAUAAUUAGGUGCUUUUCUCAAUGAUGGAUGGAUGAAGACCGUCUUAAGACAUGUAACUGUUCUUGUGUAUCACAUGAAAUUAUAACAUAAGUAUGUGAUGGAUCAUUACGUUUGAAACACCUAGGCUCUAGUUAUGACUCUUGUUGUGUUUGUUGAUUUUAUUUGAAUUCGUGUAAUUAUUGCAUCAAGAAUCUAUAAUGUUCCUAUUUGGGUUGAUCAUGUGCCAUGAGUGUGUAAGACUAUUGUAUAUUCCUUAUUGCAACUGAUGCUAGAACUUUCCUGGUGUGUGUACAAAGCGAAAUAAAGAUUGUGUUUGAUAGCCAUUUUUCAUACCUUCUUUUGACCUACCUUUGUACAUUAUCUUAUCUAGCCCCAUUGAGCCUUUAGAUUGUUCUUUUGUUAGCCUCAUAUUUAGCCUAAUCCGUUCUUUAAUAGACCGUAAUUUGUUCCAAAAGCUCCUAAGCUCUUUAAUGUAAAAUCAAUUUGAGUUAAGAGUUUGACAAUUAGAGGAAAAAGGUGAAAUUGAUGCCUCAAAGUCUAGUUAUUGGCGUGUGAAAUUGAUGUGGAUGGGAGUAGCAAAAAUUUUUUAAAAAAAGUUCCAAAUUUUAUCCCGGACAUGUUACAAUGAACCUAUUUUGGCCCUAGUCCUUCUUGGACAUUGUGCACCUCAACUAAGGCAAAUCUCUUAAGUUGAGGGUAGCUAUUAUAGGGGUGCGUAACGUGAAAAGAUUGUAAAAAAAUAUAUUUAAAAGAAUUGUAUGCUCCCACCAUAGUGUUAUUAAUUGAGCUUAACGAGUUAGGGUGAAAAGCAAAUUUGUGAAGAUAGCAGAAGUGGAAGUUGGUUGUUAGAGAUUGGUCUUAAUUGCAUAAUGUAGUGUAUUAAAGNNNNNNNNNNNNNNNNNNNNNNNNNNNNNNNNNNNNNNNNNNNNNNNNNNNNNNNNNNNNNNNNNNNNNNNNNNNNNNNNNNNNNNNNNNNNNNNNNNNNNNNNNNNNNNNNNNNNNNNNNNNNNNNNNNNNNNNNNNNNNNNNNNNNNNNNNNNNNNNNNNNNNNAGUGAAGUAUUUCACUAAGGUCAAGCAUAUGGUCAUCAGUUGUAAUUUGAGAAUUCUUUGUGAGAGUGAGCGCAACUUGAUUCUUGUACCCAUUUUGUUAGAAAUUGCAUGAUUGAGAGUGAUUAUGGUUAACUUUCUUGUUGUGAGGGCACAUGGUUGAUGGAGGUUUGGUAAUUUAUAUGAUUUCUUUUCUUAAAUGGUAUGCAUGAAAUUGCCAACUUAAUGAGUCUAUUCUUGAGGGUAGGUUGUCUCUAGUAAUGAUUGCUGAAUCUACUUCUUGUUCAUAAUUAUUGUGUGAGCCUAUUUGAGCAUCUUGUCUUCUUUUGUGGGUGCUAAGGCUUGUUGAGUAUGCAUAAAUGGAUAUGUUGUUUGAGGAAGAACAAAGCUUCAAGUGUAGGAUGGUGAUCUUGGGUGUAUUUAUACGCCUAAGCACCAUAACUUAUCCAUGUUUUAGCUAAGUUUAAAGAACAAAAAGUCUAGUUUCUUUUGUUUUUACUCUACUUCUAUGUAAUUUAGCUAACCGAUGUGAUUAGCAUGAUUUCAGGUAUUAAUGAAGUAGAUGAAGACAUAAUGGGCCUAUGGAAUGCGGAUGGCAUAUGACACAAGAGAGAGUAGCAGUCUGGACCAAAUGUGGCGCCUAGAAACUAUGUCCAAGACUAGUUUGUCAUUUAUAAUUAGUUUAGGAACUUAGAAGGCAAUUAUGAGAGAAAAGAUUACUAAAAGUCUUAAUGCUGAAUUUUUAUUCAUUAUUGGAUUAUUCUGCAUUAGUUUUUGAAGAGGGAGAGUGGCAGCUUAGCUUGGAGAGAGAGAAAAACAUUUUUCUCGUGUUCUCACAAUUCGCACACGAAGAUCAUCUUCUAGUUUUUAAUAUGAUGAAUAUUUCUAUUGUAAUUUUUUUUUAUUCAUGAGCAGCUAAGUUUAUUAGUUAGGGUUAUGGAAGCCUUGUAGCACAUAAUCUAUCAUUUUGGAUUUUGAAUUUAUC
This 16347-nucleotide long non-coding RNA is filed under the name Capsicum annuum. Its description in RNAcentral is "long non-coding RNA (CANN_LNC016113)". The record is from RNAcentral. Lineage: Eukaryota; Viridiplantae; Streptophyta; Magnoliopsida; Solanales; Solanaceae.